AACCAUACAGUCAAUCUAUCGCCUCACCAUCGCAACCUUGUCACAUCUAGGCAUUCAGAAUACAACCACCCCAUCAAUCUACCGCCUCGCUAUCGCAACCUUGUCAGAACUCGCCUCAAUUCUUCCAACUCCACCCUACCAUUCGAGAUACAACCAUCUCGCGGACCUAUCUCCUCGCCAUAUUAACCUUGUCACAUCUCGGUAUGUCCUUGCUCCAUCUUCAUCCCAACCAUUCAACUCUUCAUGCCUAGGUUGUUUGUUUAUUUACAUGGCCAUUUGUUUAGUGAUUACUUUGAUCAGAUCCGAAUGAGCCAUGAGUGACAUAUAUGCUUGUAUUGUUUCCUAACUAUAAUGUUUUUACUGUUCAUUUAUGUAUCCCCACGAAUUAUAAAAGGUAUAUAGUUCAACCCUUUUCCAUAGUUAUCAGAUUUUACACAAUGAUGUUUACCUUGACUGCAGUGA
Aegilops tauschii subsp. strangulata is the source of this 462-nucleotide long non-coding RNA. RefSeq lists it as uncharacterized. NCBI's taxonomy places the organism in Eukaryota, Viridiplantae, Streptophyta, Magnoliopsida, Poales, Poaceae. The record is from RefSeq and is a predicted model, not a curated record.